GAACGACGCUGGCGGCAGGCCUCAAACAUGCAAGUCUAGGGGGUGUAGCAAUACAUCACCGGCGGACGGGUGCGUAACACGUGGGAAUAUACCUUUUGGUUCGGAACAACGCAGGGAAACUUGCGCUAAUACCGAAUGUGCCCUUACGGGGAAAGAUUUAUCGCCAAAGGAUUAGCCCGCGUAGGAUUAGCUAGUUGGUGAGGUAAUGGCUCACCAAGGCUCCGAUCCUUAGCUGUUCUGAGAGGAAGAUCAGCCACACUGGGACUGAGACACGGCCCAGACUCCUACGGGAGGCAGCAGUUGGGAAUCUUGGACAAUGGGGGAAACCCUGAUCCAGCCAUGCCGCGUGAGUGAUGAAGGCCUUCGGGUUGUAAAACUCUUUCGACGGGGACGAUAAUGACGGUACCCGUAGAAGAAGCUCCGGCUAACUUCGUG
This 435-nucleotide ribosomal RNA is filed under the name uncultured bacterium. Its description in RNAcentral is "bacterial SSU rRNA". It matches the Rfam family "Bacterial small subunit ribosomal RNA", at positions 32 to 507 of the family's 1533-position model. The record is from RNAcentral.